RNAcentral lists this ribosomal RNA (468 nucleotides) under uncultured bacterium. RNAcentral describes it as "partial 16S ribosomal RNA". It matches the Rfam family "Bacterial small subunit ribosomal RNA", at positions 36 to 507 of the family's 1533-position model. The record is from RNAcentral.
UCCUCCCUCUUUCUUCGUGCUUAACACAUGCAAGUCGAACGGAAAGGCCCUGCUUUUGUGGGGUGCUCGAGUGGCGAACGGGUGAGUAACACGUGAGUAACCUGCCCUUGACUUUGGGAUAACUUCAGGAAACUGGGGCUAAUACCGGAUAGGAGCUCCUGCUGCAUGGUGGGGGUUGGAAAGUUUCGGCGGUUGGGGAUGGACUCGCGGCUUAUCAGCUUGUUGGUGGGGUAGUGGCUUACCAAGGCUUUGACGGGUAGCCGGCCUGAGAGGGUGACCGGUCACAUUGGGACUGAGAUACGGCCCAGACUCCUACGGGAGGCAGCAGUGGGGAAUAUUGCACAAUGGGCGGAAGCCUGAUGCAGCAACGCCGCGUGCGGGAUGACGGCCUUCGGGUUGUAAACCGCUUUCGCCUGUGACGAAGCGUGAGUGACGGUAAUGGGUAAAGAAGCACCGGCUAACUACGUG